UCAGAAACGGCGGGGUAGCCGCAUUCCACCAC
RNAcentral lists this non-coding RNA (32 nucleotides) under Geobacter sulfurreducens KN400. Lineage: Bacteria; Pseudomonadati; Thermodesulfobacteriota; Desulfuromonadia; Geobacterales; Geobacteraceae. The record is from RNAcentral.